Molecule: ribosomal RNA, 446 nt
Filed under: uncultured bacterium
Lineage: Bacteria
Description: partial 16S ribosomal RNA
Rfam family: Bacterial small subunit ribosomal RNA
Source: RNAcentral
CCUACGGGAGGCAGCAGUCGAGAAUCAUUCACAAUGGGGGAAACCCUGAUGGUGCGACGCCGCGUGGGGGAAUGAAGGUCUUCGGAUUGUAAACCCCUGUCAUGUGGGAGCAAAUUAAAAAGAUAGUACCACAAGAGGAAGAGACGGCUAACUCUGUGCCAGCCGCCGCGGUAAUACAGAGGUCUCAAGCGUUGUUCGGAAUCACUGGGCGUAAAGCGUGCGUAGGCUGUUUCGUAAGUCGUGUGUGAAAGGCGAGGGCUCAACCCGCGGACGGCACAUGAUACUGCGAGACUAGAGUAAUGGAGGGGGAACCGGAAUUCUCGGUGUAGCAGUGAAAUGCGUAGAUAUCGAGAGGAACACUCGUGGCGAAGGCGGGUUCCUGGACAUUAACUGACGCUGAGGCACGAAGGCCAGGGGAGCGAAAGGGAUUAGAUACCCCAGUAGUC